Linepithema humile (Argentine ant) is the source of this 443-nucleotide non-coding RNA. The record is from RefSeq and is a predicted model, not a curated record. Lineage: Eukaryota; Metazoa; Arthropoda; Insecta; Hymenoptera; Formicidae.
GUCAAAUUGAACUACGAAUACCUCUUGAUGAAUGAAACAGCGUCAAAUAAUAGCCAGAAAAGGAAAGGGUAAAGCGGACACUCGUUGCACGGAACAAAAGGAUCCUCUAGCAGCUGCACAGUACGUCGACACCCUUCGGGAAUUUCAGAAGUAGACCUUUUCCAGCGGUUGGUCAGAGACAUGCAAAAUGUAAGAGAACAUUUAUCAAAUUCUUUGGUAACGACGGUGACCGCCUCUUUCCCUGAACUUCGUUGGAAAUGUUCUCGGCCAUUUUUCGCCCCCACUAACGCAGUCCACCCUUCGAAAGAAAAGCAAGCCGUAAAGGCAGUGGAUUUUUUUUCGCUUCAAGUACCAUAACCAACGGUUAGUACCGGAUAGUAUCCUUCCAAAAGGAUAUUUGACCAGUACAUUCAAUGUACCAAAGAAGAUAUUGCAGCAUUUAU